UGGUGGAGUGAUUUGUCUGGUUAAUUCCGUUAACGAACGAGACCUCAACCUGCUAAAUAGUUUAAUGUGGCCAUGGCUCUGUUGGAAAGUUCUUAGAGGAACGUUGUGUGUCUAAUGCAAGGAAGGUUGAGGCAAUAACA
This 140-nucleotide ribosomal RNA is filed under the name uncultured eukaryote. RNAcentral's name for it is "partial 18S ribosomal RNA". It matches the Rfam family "Eukaryotic small subunit ribosomal RNA", at positions 1299 to 1458 of the family's 1831-position model. The record is from RNAcentral.